CGCCCACUAGACUGGGUGACACACUGUGUGUCGCCCAACCCAAUUUGACACGAAAUCUUCAUUUUUUGGCAGAACAACCCAAAGAUCAGUGUUGAGCUGGAAUCUGCCAUUUUAGGCAGAUCUAGUCUGGGCAACACACUUGUGUAGCCCAGCCUAGACACACCCAAAUUGGAUGAUUUUUGGCAGGCAACAUCUUGACAACCCCAGCAUCCGCCCUGUACUGGAAAUUUUCUGUUUCGAGCAAUCUUGACUUGGGCGACACACAGUGUGUCGCCCAACUCUGACAGUGCAGAAACGACAGUUUUCGCAUGCCAGAGGCCCCCCCUACUGUUUUAGGUCAAAUUUCCCAAAUUUGACCAAUUUUGGUUGGGUGACACCUAGGGUUACCCAAGCCCAGGACCUAGAAAGGUAGUCCAGGGUUGGCAAUUGGUUGUUGAUGGAAAAUUUUCCCUUUGAUUUGAUUCCCAAUCUAUAAAAAUGAAAAUUCUUGGCUAUUUGUGGGGGCUUCUUCUAAGGGGAGAGAAAAGAGUUAGCUUAGAAAAACCCUAACUUUGAACCCUAAGUCUGAAAACCCUAAACCAUUAAAGCUCUAACCUAGGAACCCUAGUUCUUCAAUCAUCUCUAGGGCACAACAACCCUUUUAAAUCAGAGAUCUUUUGGUCAACUUUUGAAUCAGAGAGGCAAAGAGGACGCCGGUUCUGAUACGGGAGAGCCCUCGAAGGCUCGGAAGUCCCAGGCCAUCCGGCACGAUUUGGUAUUGUUAUAUUAACCUGUCUUUCUUCUUCUCACUAUUUUGAUUUCAUUUUGAUUAAUUUUGGUUAGUUUGCUGCUUUGAACUCGUGUUUUAAUGUUUUGGAUCAUGCUGGCUCUGCUACAAAUCUGAGAGUGGAUCUGCUCGUUUCUGAACAAAUCUGGCAUUAGAUCUGAAUUCUAUUUGUCCCACUUUCUCUAUCACAUUAUUUUUAUCAGUUUAAGGUGUCAAAAUCCACAAGAUCUUCGUCAGAAGAUCUGUUUGAUUUUCAUUGUAAACAAUUUGGCGCCCAUCGUGGAGCGUUUCGAGCUUGAUUCGAGCUCUGAAACAUGAGUUUUAUUCAUUGUUUUUACUGCUUUCAGUAAAAAAAAAAGUCCCAAAUUUGGCUGUGACUAGGACCCAGGGUUUUUGCAGCUGCGAAACCCUGUCUGUCUUGGGUGACACUACCUGGGUCGCCCAGGUUUAGGCGACACACCAGUCUCCCAAGCGACACACACUGUGCCGCCCAGAUUCAAAGGUCCUAGAAAAUUUUUGAGACCCCACAAACCUAUUCCAAGGACAUUUUUGUCACUGAUCAAAAAAUUUUAGAAAAAAAUAAAAUUUUUAAAAAUACAAAAAAUAUUUUCUUAAUAUAGGUCUAUUUUAUUUGCACUUUUCUAUUUUUACUUUAUUUUAAUUUUUUCAUCAGAAAUAUUAUUUUCCCUGCUUCUGGAAGUUCAUUGUAACCUUAUCUCAUCAAAGUUAAAAAUAAUAAGAAUAAUAAAUUUUUUGGGCAAUAUUAGCAGUGUCGUCCAGCUUGUAAGGGCGACACCAGUAGUGCCGCCCAGAUGACACCACAUGUGUUGCCUAGUUGCAGUGCUAUCAAAAAUUUCUUGGGACCCCACAGGCCUCUUCCAGAGGUUGUUGGCUUUCUAUUCACCAAUAUUUGGCUUAAAAUAAUUUUUUUUAAAAAAAAAUAAAAACUUUUUUUGCUUCAAAUAGGUAUUUUAUGUUCCUAGAUUUUUUAUUUUAUUUUAAUGUGCUAAUUUUGAUUUAGAUCAUGUUUUCCCUGCUUUCACCAUGCUUAGUUUAACUGAAUUUCAUCAAAGUUAAAAAAAAAAUUUCAAAUAAAAAUAGAUAUAUAUAUAUAUAGAUUGAGGGUUGCUUGCACCCUCCUUAAACCGUGUCCCAUUCAAGUCACCCUCGACUCGGGCCACGCUCGGCUUAGCAUGGACUGUGCUUGGUCUCACUAUUUUGAUUGUACCUUCUUAGGGGUUGCUUACCCC
This 2016-nucleotide long non-coding RNA is filed under the name Amborella trichopoda. Its description in RNAcentral is "long non-coding RNA (ATRI_LNC003210)". The record is from RNAcentral. Lineage: Eukaryota; Viridiplantae; Streptophyta; Magnoliopsida; Amborellales; Amborellaceae.